GUGUCAGUUUUGAUUUUAUUUUAAAAAGUUCCCCUCCCCCCAAUAUUUGUCUGAUAUUUGCCUUCAUUAAUAAGACAUGUAGCUUAUUCACAAAAUAGACUGGAUGUGCUUUUCUUCUCAAUAAAUCAUUUAAACAUAGCUAUUUUUUUAAAGCUCUAAAAGGCUUUAUCAGGAGAAUUUCAAAGGGUUGUAUACAAGUUGCCUUCAGCAGAAAUAGUAGAUGCAAUUCUGUUCCUCAAACGUGCUUGCAAGUCUUCCUGAACUUCUGUUGAGGCAUAACCCAAUUAUGUACCAUGAAUGUUAGGAUCUGUUUUUGGCCUUGAGACCUGAAUUUCAAGAAUGCAUCUAAUCAUGAUUUUCUUUUCUUUCUGAGUUGGAGGCUUCAGUUGGAAUCGUCUAGUUAAGUGUGCUGCUAGAUGUGGUCUUGGCUUAUUGACACAGCCUUGCACACAGCUGAGGUUUAUUUUGCUUACCCCAGGGAUUGUGUGAAGUACAUUUCAAACAGUUACUGCUUCAGUGGCUGAUUCUUCUUGUAACUGUAUUAAGGGCAUUAGUAUGUUGAGAAAACACCACUCUUGAAUAUAUCCCAAUAUAAAUUGGGAUUCUUCAAUGUCAUUAAUGAAAGAUGGCACUUUUAGGUUAUAUCUUCUUUGCAGCAUACAAAAAUGUCUCUAUCCUUCUACAAUUUACAUUUCACAAUAUGCCAUGUUUUUUCCCCCAAUGCUUCUAGCAUGAUAAGAAGGUGUGUGUGCGCACUGAAUUAUAAUCCUCAGCCUCUUAGACAUUCAUGAACUUCCACAAGAGCAAAUACUGACUAUGCAUUUAUUGUCUUUCUAAUGAGCUGUGGAGCUAAAAGUGGAGCCAGAGCUAUUUUAAGCCACACUUUCUUUUUUUCCCAUUAAAAAAAAAAAACCAAACCACCUCCAGGCUUUUUAGAUAACAUCAGUCACUGUUCAGACUUCUUGAGUUAAGAAUAUUUUGCAGUUGGGUGUCUCUGUAAAUCAAAUUUGGGUGAGUUAACUAGCUACUCUAAGGAAAGCUUCUGGAUUGGAUUUGUUAUUGGCAAAAGCAUGCUCUGCCCUAUCAAAAUCUUCCGAUUAAGAAGCAGAACCCAGUAGUAGCACUUAAUUUUUAUUAAUCUUAUAAUGAUGCAUAUUCAUACAUUCUGAUUGGAAUCAUCUAUCCUCCCAGAACAUCAUGUCCAAGUAAAACUUGUUGCUCAGUAUUUGUGGUUGGGUGAACUCUUAAGGCUGAUGGCACAUGCGUUCAUAGGCGGUUGACAGGCAGAAAGAAAAAAGCAUUUGAAAACAAAACAUGGCAUCCUGUUCUGCCUAUGCUUGGGGUCAUGAUUGUAAUGCUGUCCUUGAUAUUCUAUAAUCAACUUCCAACUGGAGCUCAGAAAAACUUACUGAAAGUCUUGUCUCUGUUAGAAAAUAAACUUACCUUGUUAAAAGCAUGAUCUGUUAAAGAGUUGCAAUGUUUAAUGUUGGUUAAUAGUUGUGCAGUUUUUAUUCUUUUUUUUAAAGAGGCACAAUUAAACUCUUGACUUUGUUUACUCUGUCACCCUCGAUCCCUAGCACUUCUAUUCAGCACUUCAGAUUCAUCAAUGUAUGCAACAUCCUUUGUAAUUUAAAAUAAAAAUUGUGGAGGAAAUACCAUCUCGAAUCAUUGUACGUGUGAAGUGACACUGAGUGGCGUGUGCUCCCUUCGAGUAAAUGCCCUCGGUCUCCUGGUAUUGUCAGCAGCUUUCCUUUGAGGGGAGCGUAGCAAGGGAAGGAAAUAAUGUGUUUCCCCCUGGUCAGUGCUUGAGCCAAGAGCUGCUUCGCAGGGCUGCUGGGCCAGCAUGGUGGGACCAUCAGGAGAGCCUGGGCUGCAGCCCAGCAUGUCCUUUGAGUGCCUUUUCAUGGACGUGGUCUCCAUCUUCAACACCACAGCUCGUGUUCUCCAAACCUGGCGUGUCACAGAGCAGGGUGUGAGGGCGGGAGGGGAGGCACAGCACCAGGGGAGGAGGCAAGGGAAAGGCAAAAGGGCCGUUGCGUUGCGUUGUGUGCCCUCUCCUCCCCUCCGCGGCACAAGCGGAGUUGUUCCUCCUGUUGUUCCGCAGCACGGGCACCGGCCAUCCCCUGCUGCUGAGGGUCCCCUGUCCCCGGCCCAUCCACCCGCAGUCCCGCGGCGGUCUGUUGGGUGCUGUUAUCGCUUCUCCCCGUGCCACGGCUGGUGCCGCUUUGUGCCCUUCCUUUGGCUCAUAAGGGCGAAGGAAAGCACCUUAGUCCCCAUCUGCUAACGAACCGCCUUUCCACAGCGCCUGAAUUUACUCUUUCGCUACCCGAUAACCGUACAUCAGCACCACCGGUACCACUACGGUACCGCCGCCCCGCGGGGGUCCCUCAGCCGAGCCCCCGCCGCGGCUCUCC
This 2414-nucleotide long non-coding RNA is filed under the name Strigops habroptila (Kakapo). Its description in RNAcentral is "lncRNA (ENSSHBG00005016167.1)". Lineage: Eukaryota; Metazoa; Chordata; Aves; Psittaciformes; Psittacidae. The record is from RNAcentral.